This 1268-nucleotide ribosomal RNA is filed under the name uncultured Gemmatimonadota bacterium. RNAcentral's name for it is "bacterial SSU rRNA". It matches the Rfam family "Bacterial small subunit ribosomal RNA", at positions 61 to 1264 of the family's 1533-position model. The record is from RNAcentral. Lineage: Bacteria; Pseudomonadati; Gemmatimonadota.
GUCGAACGCAGGCGUGUUUGUACGCAAGUACAAGCGCUCACCUGAGUGGCGGACGGGUGCGUAACACGUGAGCAACCUGCCCGGGCGCGGGGGACAACCUUCGGAAACGGGGGCCAACCCCGCAUGGGCUUUGGGGCCGCAUGGUCCUGGAGUGAAACGAGCCUUCGGGCUCGGCGCCUGGAGGGGCUCGCGGCGUAUCAGCUGGUUGGUGGGGUAGAGGCUCACCAAGGCGAUGACGCGUCGGGGGUCUGAGAGGAUGGCCCCCCACAUGGGGACUGAGAUACGGCCCCAACUCCUACGGGAGGCAGCAGUGGGGAAUCUUGCGCAAUGGCCGAAAGGCUGACGCAGCGACGCCGCGUGCGGGAGGACGCUCUUCGGGGUGUAAACCGCUGUCACCCGGGACGAAUCCCGGUCGGAGGCAAUGCCGGCCGGUUGACGGUACCGGGAGAGGAAGCACCGGCUAACUCCGUGCCAGCAGCCGCGGUAAUACGGAGGGUGCGAGCGUUGUCCGGAAUGAUUGGGCGUAAAGGGCGCGUAGGCGGCUCUUUGCAAGUCCGCUGUGAAAGGCCGGGGCUCAACCCCGUGCAGGGCAGAGGAGACUGCGGAGCUAGGGACACGUAGAGGCUGGCGGAACUGGGGGUGUAGCGGUGGAAUGCGUAGAGAUCCCCAAGAACACCGGAGGCGAAGGCGGCCAGCUGGGCGUGCAAACGGGCAGGGCUUCGGUCCUGUCUAUCCGACGCUGAGGCGCGAAAGCGUGGGGAGCGAACCGGAUUAGAUACCCGGGUAGUCCACGCCGUAAACGAUGGGCACUCGCCGUCUGGGGGAUCGACCCUCUGGGUGGCUGAGCUAACGCGAGAAGUGCCCCGCCUGGGGAGUACGGCCGCAAGGCUGAAACUCAAAGGAAUUGACGGGGGCCCGCACAAGCGGUGGAGCAUGUGGUUUAAUUCGAAGCAACGCGAAGAACCUUACCCGGACUUGACAUGCUGAGGAAAGCCCAUCGAAAGAUGGGCCCCCCUUCGGGGUCUCAGCACAGGUGCUGCAUGGCUGUCGUCAGCUCGUGUCGUGAGAUGUUGGGUUAAGUCCCGCAACGAGCGCAACCCUUGCCGGCUGUUGCCAGCGGAGCCUUCCGGGGCUGCCGGGGACUCUGCCGGGACUGCCGCGAACAACGCGGAGGAAGGUGGGGACGACGUCAAGUCAUCAUGGUUCCGUACGUCCGGGGCGACACCGUGCUACAAUGGGGGGGGAAAAGAGCGCAGCCGAGCCCGGCU